AGAGUUUGAUCAUGGCUCAGGACGAACGCUGGCGGCGUGCUUAACACAUGCAAGUCGAGCGGUAAGGCCUCUUUGGGGGUACACGAGCGGCGAACGGGUGAGUAACACGUGGGUGACCUGCCCUUCACUCUGGGAUAAGCUUGGGAAACUGGGUCUAAUACCGGAUAUUCACAUUGUCUCGCAUGGGGUGGUGUGGAAAGCUGUGUUCUUUGUUGGGCACUGUGGUGGGGGAUGGGCCCGCGGCCUAUCAGCUUGUUGGUGGGGUGAUGGCCUACCAAGGCGACGACGGGUAGCCGGCCUGAGAGGGCGACCGGCCACACUGGGACUGAGACACGGCCCAGACUCCUACGGGAGGCAGCAGUGGGGAAUAUUGCGCAAUGGGCGGAAGCCUGACGCAGCGACGCCGCGUGGGGGAUGACGGCCUUCGGGUUGUAAACCUCUUUCGACUUCGACGAAGCCUUUGGGUGACGGUAGGGGUGGAAGAAGCACCGGCCAACUACGUGCCAGCAGCCGCGGUAAUACGUAGGGUGCGAGCGUUGUCCGGAAUUAUUGGGCGUAAAGAGCUCGUAGGCGGUGUGUCGCGUCGGCCGUGAAAACCUGCAGCUUAACUGUGGGCUUGCGGUCGAUACGGGCAUCACUGGAGUUCGGCAGGGGAGACUGGAAUUCCUGGUAGCGGUGAAAUGCGCAGAUAUCAGGAGGAACACCGGUGGCGAAGGCGGGUCUCUGGGCCGAUACUGACGCUGAGGAGCGAAAGCGUGGGGAGCAAACAGGAUUAGAUACCCCGGUAGUCC
Molecule: ribosomal RNA, 791 nt
Filed under: uncultured bacterium
Lineage: Bacteria
Description: bacterial SSU rRNA
Rfam family: Bacterial small subunit ribosomal RNA
Source: RNAcentral